RNAcentral lists this ribosomal RNA (468 nucleotides) under uncultured bacterium. RNAcentral describes it as "partial 16S ribosomal RNA". It matches the Rfam family "Bacterial small subunit ribosomal RNA", at positions 28 to 507 of the family's 1533-position model. The record is from RNAcentral.
GACGAACGCUGGCGGCGUGCUUAACACAUGCCAGUCGAACGGAAAGGCCCUGCUUUUGUGGGGUGCUCGAGUGGCGAACGGGUGAGUAACACGUGAGUAACCUGCCCUUGACUUUGGGAUAACUUCAGGAAACUGGGGCUAAUACCGGAUAGGAGCUCCUGCUGCAUGGUGGUGGUUGGAAAGUUUCGGCGGUUGGGGAUGGACUCGCGGCUUAUCAGCUUGUUGGUGGGGUAGUGGCUUACCAAGGCUUUGACGGGUAGCCGGCCUGGGAGGGUGGCCGGCGACAUGGGGACUGAGAUAGGGCGCAGACUCCUACGGGAGGCAGCAGUGGGGAAUAUUGCACAGUGGGCGGAAGCGUGAUGCAGCAGCGCCGCGUGCGGGAUGACGGCCUUCGGGUUGUAAACCGCUUUCGCCUGUGACGAAGCGUGAGUGACGGUAAUGGGUAAAGAAGCACCGGCUAACUACGUG